GCCCGGGUGGCGGAAUGGGAAGACGCGGGCGACUUAAAAUCGCCUGGCCUGCGAGCCGUGCAGGUUCGAGUCCUGCCCCGGGCACCC
RNAcentral lists this transfer RNA (87 nucleotides) under Deltaproteobacteria bacterium. RNAcentral's name for it is "tRNA-Leu". It matches the Rfam family "tRNA". From Rfam's summary of the family: Transfer RNA (tRNA) molecules are approximately 80 nucleotides in length. Their secondary structure includes four short double-helical elements and three loops (D, anti-codon, and T loops). Lineage: Bacteria; Pseudomonadati; Myxococcota; Myxococcia. The record is from RNAcentral.